This 252-nucleotide unclassified non-coding RNA is filed under the name uncultured Paenibacillaceae bacterium. RNAcentral describes it as "contains 16S-23S intergenic spacer region". It matches the Rfam family "Bacterial small subunit ribosomal RNA", at positions 524 to 776 of the family's 1533-position model. The record is from RNAcentral. Lineage: Bacteria; Bacillati; Bacillota; Bacilli; Caryophanales; Paenibacillaceae.
UACGUAGGGGGCAAGCGUUGACCGGAAUUAUUGGGCGUAGAGCGCGCGCAGGCGGUUCACUAAGUUUGGUGUUUAAGGCUGGGGCUCAACUCCAGUUCGCACUGAAAACUGGUGGACUUGAGUGCAGAAGAGGAAAGUGGAAUUCCACGUGUAGCGGUGAAAUGCGUAGAGAUGUGGAGGAACACCAGUGGCGAAGGCGACUUUCUGGGCUGUAACUGACGCUGAGGCGCGAAAGCGUGGGGAGCAAACAGG